AACGAACGCUGGCGGCAUGCCUAACACAUGCAAGUCGAACGAAGCCUUCGGGCUUAGUGGCGCACGGGUGCGCAACGCGUGGGAAUCUGCCUUUUGGUUCGGAAUAACAGUUGGAAACGACUGCUUAUACUGGAUGAUGACGAAAGUCCAAAGAUUUAUCGCAAGAUGAUGAGCCCGCGUAGGAUUAGCUAGUUGGUGUGGUAAAGCAGAACCAAGGAGACUAUCCUUAGCUUGUCUGAGAGGAUGGUCAGCCACACUGGGACUGGGACACGGCCCAGACUCCUACGGGAGGCAGCAGUGGGGAAUAUUGGACAAUGGGCGAAAGCCUGAUCCAGCAAUGCCGCGUGAGUGAUGAAGGCCCUAGGGUUGUAAAGCUCUUUUACCCGGGAUGAUAAUGACAGUACCGGGAGAAUAAGCCCCGGCUAACUCCGUGCCAGCCGCCGCCGUAA
Molecule: ribosomal RNA, 449 nt
Filed under: uncultured bacterium
Lineage: Bacteria
Description: partial 16S ribosomal RNA
Rfam family: Bacterial small subunit ribosomal RNA
Source: RNAcentral